AGUGAACGCUGGCGGUAGGCCUAACACAUGCAAGUCGAACGGCAGCACAGGAGAGCUUGCUCUCUGGGUGGCGAGUGGCGGACGGGUGAGGAAUACAUCGGAAUCUACUCUGUCGUGGGGGAUAACGUAGGGAAACUUACGCUAAUACCGCAUACGACCUACGGGUGAAAGCAGGGGACCUUCGGGCCUUGCGCGAUUGAAUGAGCCGAUGUCGGAUUAGCUAGUUGGCGGGGUAAAGGCCCACCAAGGCGACGAUCCGUAGCUGGUCUGAGGGGAUGAUCAGCCACACUGGAACUGAGACACGGUCCAGACUCCUACGGGAGGCAGCAGUGGGGAAUAUUGGACAAUGGGCGCAAGCCUGAGCCAGCCAUACCGCGUGGGUGAAGAAGGCCUUCGGGUUAUAAAGCCCUUUUGUUGGGAAAGAAAUCCAGCUGGCUAAUACCCGGUUGGGAUGACGGUACCCAAAGAAUAAGCACCGGCUAACUUCGUGCCAGCCGCCGCAGUAA
Molecule: ribosomal RNA, 506 nt
Filed under: uncultured bacterium
Lineage: Bacteria
Description: partial 16S ribosomal RNA
Rfam family: Bacterial small subunit ribosomal RNA
Source: RNAcentral